Molecule: long non-coding RNA, 1547 nt
Organism: Octopus bimaculoides (California two-spot octopus)
Lineage: Eukaryota; Metazoa; Mollusca; Cephalopoda; Octopoda; Octopodidae
Source: RefSeq, a predicted model, not a curated record
UCAACGAAGGAGUCUUUACGCAGUUGCUUGACCUGCUUGGAAUUACAAACAAAUCUCCCAAAUCACACAUAACCAUCUUAAAAAAACGAAGGACCAAAUUGAUAUAUCACUCUACGUCUUGUGUUACGUAUGACAUCUUUAAUUAGGCAGUCUAGACCUUUAAAUUUAAAAAAAAUGUUAUUUAACUUAUAUUAUUUUAUAUUUUAACUGUGUGUUUUUUAAAUAUAUCUUUACAUUCUUUAUUUUUUCUUUACUUAUCUGUUAAACUUUUCUUUUCCUGAAAUUAAUUGAAAAUACUAAAAGCUCCCCUAUUUAAUCACAAUAAUUCUAUGUUAAUAAUUGCCAAAGAGUAAGACUCAAUAUAUUUUAUGGGAUAAGUUUAAGUUUUAAUAGUUUAAUCAAUAGAUGAAGAAAUUUUUCGAAAAAUAUUUAUUAAAUAAAUUGAAACAAAUUUUUUUAUAUGAAAUAAAUCUAUGAAAGCUUAAGCUUUUGUUUCCUGUUUGAUUCAUCCAGUGGAAUUGGUCAGAAAGCUUAUUUGAAGAAUUAACUGAGAUCACCUUGCAUCAAUAAAGAAAGAAGUUCAUUUUAACAGAAGUGCAUAUUUUACAACUGAUCCCAAUAUACUGGUAUCAAGGCUGGAUUAAGAUCAUCUGAUGAAGGCUAAACACAGCCAAACAAUGUUGCCGAUGCAAAUCCUUCAAUUUAGAUACAAGUGCUGAAUGGGAAAAAAAUAGAUUGAAAAUCCAGUUUUCUUUCAAUCAAUACACCUCAACUAAAUAUAACCUGUAUUUUAAAAAAUGAAUAGAUUUACUUAUAAGAACAGGGUAAAGAUUCAAAUUCUCAGCCUUUUUUUAAUUCUUAAAAAAUGUCAAUUUACCAUUUGUGCCAUGGUAAAUCCAGCACUAUAAAAAAAAAUCCAUAGUACCAUCCCCUUCCCUUGGUGCCCUAAGCACGUGCUUCUUUUGUUAAAUGGUUUCUCUGGUCCUGAUUGGAAAUAAUCAUCGUAUUGGAUCCAGAAAAAUAGCAUCCAUAAUUGUUUUCGAUUGAUUGUAAACAUAGGUAUGCUAUUCUAUGAUGGUUCUGUAAUUUAAAGGGAAAUUAAAAUGAAAUAAAAAGUGACAAUAGGGAAGCUAAUUAUUGAUUUUUGUUCUGUUGUUUAGCUUUCGGUUAUCAUUUUCAUAUUCGUAAUAAUUUUCCCCGAAAAUUACGUACGGAACCGUUUAUUAAAAUAUAACGUUGAACUAGUGUGAAUAAUAGUUUGAAAGGCAGUCCGCAAUUACUUUUGAGAGAACUACAAUACGACGAAGAGGAGAAAAUGUCAUUUUCAUAAAUAUAUGACCUGAAAGAGCUUCCGUAUAUAUUUAAUUGUUGGUGAUGAGUUUACUUCCGCUGAAGCAGCACUCAGAACUGUGACGUCAUCACAUUAUGGCGCAGGAAGUGUGAACAGGUGCCUGUUGUUAUUCGAUAAAAAUGGUUCCCAUCACAUUUUUGGUUAAUAAUCUCUCUGGUUAUCAGGUUUUUUUAAGGAUUAACUAUAGUCAAGGUUA